This 76-nucleotide transfer RNA is filed under the name Escherichia coli. RNAcentral describes it as "tRNA-Val". It matches the Rfam family "tRNA". Rfam says of the family: Transfer RNA (tRNA) molecules are approximately 80 nucleotides in length. Their secondary structure includes four short double-helical elements and three loops (D, anti-codon, and T loops). Further hydrogen bonds mediate the characteristic L-shaped molecular structure. tRNAs have two regions of fundamental functional importance: the anti-codon, which is responsible for specific mRNA codon recognition, and the 3' end, to which the tRNAs corresponding amino acid is attached (by aminoacyl-tRNA synthetases). tRNAs cope with the degeneracy of the genetic code in two manners: having more than one tRNA (with a specific anti-codon) for a particular amino acid; and 'wobble' base-pairing, i.e. permitting non-standard base-pairing at the 3rd anti-codon position. Lineage: Bacteria; Pseudomonadati; Pseudomonadota; Gammaproteobacteria; Enterobacterales; Enterobacteriaceae. The record is from RNAcentral.
GGGUGAGUAGCUCAGCUGGGAGAGCCCCUCCCUUACAAGGAGGGGGUCGGCGGUUCGAUCCCGUCAUCACCCACCA